CGGGUGAGNAAUGUAUCGGAACGUGCCCAGUAGCGGGGGAUAACUACGCGAAAGCGUAGCUAAUACCGCAUACGCCCUACGGGGGAAAGCAGGGGAUCGCAAGACCUUGCACUAUUGGAGCGGCCGAUAUCGGAUUAGCUAGUUGGUGGGGUAACGGCUCACCAAGGCGACGAUCCGUAGCUGGUUUGAGAGGACGACCAGCCACACUGGGACUGAGACACGGCCCAGACUCCUACGGGAGGCAGCAGUGGGGAAUUUUGGACAAUGGGGGAAACCCUGAUCCAGCCAUCCCGCGUGUGCGAUGAAGGCCUUCGGGUUGUAAAGCACUUUUGGCAGGAAAGAAACGUCAUGGGUUAAUACCCCGUGAAACUGACGGUACCUGCAGAAUAAGCACCGGCUAACUACGUGCCAGCAGCCGCGGUAAUACGUAGGGUGCAAGCGUUAAUCGGAAUUACUGGGCGUAAAGCGUGCGCAGGCGGUUCGGAAAGAAAGAUGUGAAAUCCCAGAGCUUAACUUUGGAACUGCAUUUUUAACUACCGGGCUAGAGUGUGUCAGAGGGAGGUGGAAUUCCGCGUGUAGCANUGAAAUGCGUANAUAUGCGGAGGAACACCGAUGGCGAAGG
Molecule: ribosomal RNA, 622 nt
Filed under: uncultured bacterium
Lineage: Bacteria
Description: bacterial SSU rRNA
Rfam family: Bacterial small subunit ribosomal RNA
Source: RNAcentral